UUAAUCCUCAUAGAUCUUGUAUUUGUUUGCAUGUUUCUCUCUCUCCAGUCCCCCCACAUUCUCAGAUUUGUUUGUGCAGGUAUUGGUUUAUCCAUGCCAUAAGGUGUUUGACAAAAAUCCUACAAGAAAAGUCUGAUAUUGCUCUGUUAUUUAGGAUUCAAUUUUUUCUGAAAUUUAGCAGUGAACAAUGGCUAUACUUCUGUGUUUUGUUUUUUCAUUGAAACUAAUUUUGGAUUUAUGUCUUGCUGAGUAAUGUAUACACUUUCAUUGCUUUGAUUAUAUUUUAAAUUUGCAGGGAAUUACGAAAUUAUUAUUGCUGGAUUUUACCUAAUGUCGUAAGCCAGAGGUUUGAGGGAUAGAUCUCAACUACUCAUCCCAAAGUUAAGCCAGACCUACAUCAUUUAGUUCUUGAUGGUUUUUCUGUAGGAUUUUUUAUUAAUAGCAAUUCAGAGAAAACUUCAUACAUUUAUUGCUGCAUUGGUAGAUUCCUUUUAGGUAAAAAUAAAAAGGUAUUUUUUUCAUUUAUAUAGUUGAUUGAAAUAAUGGCGAAUGGUAACAUUGUGGUAUUGUCAAAUUCUGGAUAAAAAUCUUGAGGAUACACAUUUUAGAUUUAUAAUGUCUUGCUCUAUUACAUGCAGGUAUGAGAACCGGGAUGCGAAAUUCAGAAAUUAAGAGCAACACAAUAGAGGAGGAGCAGCUGCAAAUGGCUAACUGUGAUGAGGAGGGACCAGCGGAAAGUUGCUCGUCAUCAUCAACAUCCACCACCGUAGCUGCUAUGAGGCAUUGAGCUGAUCUAGAUUACUGACAUUGAAAAUGAAAUGGUCAUCGCAUUAGAGAUUAUCACUUGGGGUGAGCUCAUUUGUUC
Non-coding RNA from Lolium perenne, 865 nucleotides. The record is from RefSeq and is a predicted model, not a curated record. NCBI's taxonomy places the organism in Eukaryota, Viridiplantae, Streptophyta, Magnoliopsida, Poales, Poaceae.